Molecule: unclassified non-coding RNA, 522 nt
Filed under: Hevea brasiliensis (rubber tree)
Lineage: Eukaryota; Viridiplantae; Streptophyta; Magnoliopsida; Malpighiales; Euphorbiaceae
Source: RNAcentral
UGACGGCGAGGGAUCAGACGCUGCAGGGGAAGCCAUGGUUGCUCAACGCCCAAUUUCUAAUAUCCUCAUUAUCAUCGCUAUGCAAACGGAAGCGACGCCUGUGGUGAACAAGUUCCAGCUCGUGGAGGAACCAGAGUCUUCGUUUCCAAAAGGGGUUCCUUGGGUUUGGUAUCAUGGUAUUUACAAAGAUCUCCAUAUCAAUUUGGUAUGGCCAGGAAAAGAUUCAAAUCUGGAGGUUGAUAGUGUAGGCACAGUUUCUGCAUCACUUGUGACAUAUGCUGCUAUCCGAGCAUUACAGCCAGACUUAAUCAUCAACGCAGGCACUGCUGGUGGCUUUAAGGCAAAAGGAGCAUCUAUUGGUGAUGUAUACCUCGUAAGUGAUGUUACUUUCCAUGACAGAAGAAUCCCUAUCCCUGUUUUUGAUCUCUAUGGUAUUGGUUUGCGGCAUGCUUACCCAACACCCAAUCUCCUGAAGGACCUUAACCUAAAGGUUGGCAAGUUGUCUACUGGAGACUCUUUGGA